RNAcentral lists this ribosomal RNA (431 nucleotides) under uncultured bacterium. RNAcentral's name for it is "bacterial SSU rRNA". It matches the Rfam family "Bacterial small subunit ribosomal RNA", at positions 29 to 457 of the family's 1533-position model. The record is from RNAcentral.
AGUGAACGCUGGCGGCAGGCCUAAUACAUGCAAGUCGAACGGCAGCACAGUGGAGCUUGCUCCAUGGGUGGCGAGUGGCGGACGGGUGAGGAAUACAUGGGAAUCUGCCCAGUCGUGGGGAUAACGUAUGGAAACGUACGCUAAUACCGCAUGCGCCCUUCGGGGGAAAGUCGGGGGACCGCAAGGCCUGACGCGAUUGGAUGAGCCCAUGUUCGAUUAGCUAGUUGGCGGGUAACGGCCCACCAAGGCGACGAUCGAUAGCUGGUCUGAGAGGAUGAUCAGCCACACUGGAACUGAGACACGGUCCAGACUCCUACGGGAGGCAGCAGUAGGGAAUAUUGGACAAUGGGCGCAAGCCUGAUCCAGCCAUGCCGCGUGAGUGAAGAAGGCCCUCGGGUUGUAAAGCUCUUUGUUGGGGAAGAAAAGCAGUU